This 491-nucleotide ribosomal RNA is filed under the name uncultured bacterium. Its description in RNAcentral is "partial 16S ribosomal RNA". It matches the Rfam family "Bacterial small subunit ribosomal RNA", at positions 29 to 506 of the family's 1533-position model. The record is from RNAcentral.
AGUGAACGCUGGCGGUAGGCCUAACACAUGCAAGUCGAACGGCAGCACAGUAAGAGCUUGCUCUUACGGGUGGCGAGUGGCGGACGGGUGAGGAAUACAUCGGAAUCUACUUUUUCGUGGGGGAUAACGUAGGGAAACUUACGCUAAUACCGCAUACGACCUACGGGUGAAAGCAGGGGAUCUUCGGACCUUGCGCGAUUGAAUGAGCCGAUGUCGGAUUAGCUAGUUGGCGGGGUAAAGGCCCACCAAGGCGACGAUCCGUAGCUGGUCUGAGAGGAUGAUCAGCCACACUGGAACUGAGACACGGUCCAGACUCCUACGGGAGGCAGCAGUGGGGAAUAUUGGACAAUGGGCGCAAGCCUGAUCCGGCCAUACCGCGUGGGUGAAGAAGGCCUUCGGGUUGUAAAGCCCUUUUGUUGGGAAAGAAAAGCAGCAGGUUAAUACCCCGCUGUUCUGACGGUACCCAAAGAAUAAGCACCGGCUAACUUCGU